GUAGGGAGCAAGCGUUAUCCGGAUUUAUUGGGUGUAAAGGGUGCGUAGACGGGCUAACAAGUUAGUUGUGAAAACCAUGGGCUCAACCUGUGGCCUGCAUUUGAAACUGUAGUUCUUGAGUACUGGAGAGGCAGACGGAAUUCCUAGUGUAGCGGUGAAAUGCGUAGAUAUUAGGAGGAACACCAGUGGCGAAGGCGGUCUGCUGGACAGCAACUGACGCUGAGGCGCGAAAGCGUGGGGAGC
Molecule: ribosomal RNA, 243 nt
Filed under: uncultured bacterium
Lineage: Bacteria
Description: partial 16S ribosomal RNA
Rfam family: Bacterial small subunit ribosomal RNA
Source: RNAcentral